RNAcentral lists this ribosomal RNA (254 nucleotides) under uncultured bacterium. Its description in RNAcentral is "partial 16S ribosomal RNA". It matches the Rfam family "Bacterial small subunit ribosomal RNA", at positions 524 to 776 of the family's 1533-position model. The record is from RNAcentral.
UACGUAGGGGGCGAGCGUUGUCCGGAUUUAUUGGGCGUAAAGAGCUCGUAGGCGGUUCGAUAAGUCGGACGUGAAAUCUCCACGCUCAACGUGGAGGGGCCGUUCGAUACUGUCGUGACUCGAGUCCGGUAGGGGAGUGUGGAAUUCCCGGUGUAGCGGUGAAAUGCGCAGAGAUCGGGAGGAACACCCGUAGCGAAGGCGGCACUCUGGGCCGGUACUGACGCUGAGGAGCGAAAGUGUGGGGAGCAAACAGG